AAAUUGGUAAGCUAAAUAUAAGCUAAUAGGUUCAUACCCUAUAUAUAGAGAUAACUACUCUCCUAUUUA
RNAcentral lists this transfer RNA (69 nucleotides) under Gonopsimorpha nigrosignata. Its description in RNAcentral is "tRNA-Met". Lineage: Eukaryota; Metazoa; Arthropoda; Insecta; Hemiptera; Pentatomidae. The record is from RNAcentral.